GGAAAACAGGUUAAUAUUCCUGUACUUCCAGUUAUUGCGAUGGAGGGACGGAGAAGGUUAGGCCAGCCUGGCGUUGGUUGUCCAGGUUUAAGGUGGUAGGCUGAAAUCUUAGGCAAAUCCGGGAUUUUAAGGCCGAGAGCUGAUGACGAGUUGCCUUUAGGCGACGAAGUGGUUGAUACCAUGCUUCCAAGAAAAGCUCCUAAGCUUCAGAUAACUGGGAACCGUACCCCAAACCGACACAGGUGGUUAGGUAGA
RNAcentral lists this ribosomal RNA (255 nucleotides) under Pseudomonas sp. CAH-1. RNAcentral describes it as "partial 23S ribosomal RNA". It matches the Rfam family "Bacterial large subunit ribosomal RNA", at positions 1420 to 1675 of the family's 2925-position model. The record is from RNAcentral. Lineage: Bacteria; Pseudomonadati; Pseudomonadota; Gammaproteobacteria; Pseudomonadales; Pseudomonadaceae.